AUAUUACCUCAAUCGGUAGAGGGUCUAUAAGUAGAAAUAAAAGAUGUAGGUUCGAGUCCUACUAUAUACCA
Molecule: transfer RNA, 71 nt
Filed under: Parvimonas sp.
Lineage: Bacteria; Bacillati; Bacillota; Tissierellia; Tissierellales; Peptoniphilaceae
Description: tRNA-OTHER
Rfam family: tRNA
About the family: Transfer RNA (tRNA) molecules are approximately 80 nucleotides in length. Their secondary structure includes four short double-helical elements and three loops (D, anti-codon, and T loops).
Source: RNAcentral